RNAcentral lists this ribosomal RNA (172 nucleotides) under Staphylococcus pseudintermedius. RNAcentral describes it as "partial 16S ribosomal RNA". It matches the Rfam family "Bacterial small subunit ribosomal RNA", at positions 1 to 167 of the family's 1533-position model. Lineage: Bacteria; Bacillati; Bacillota; Bacilli; Caryophanales; Staphylococcaceae. The record is from RNAcentral.
UUUAUGGAGAGUUUGAUCCUGGCUCAGGAUGAACGCUGGCGGCGUGCCUAAUACAUGCAAGUCGAGCGAACAGAUAAGGAGCUUGCUCCUUUGACGUUAGCGGCGGACGGGUGAGUAACACGUGGGUAACCUACCUAUAAGACUGGAAUAACCCCGGGAAACCGGGGCUAAU